Molecule: ribosomal RNA, 246 nt
Filed under: uncultured bacterium
Lineage: Bacteria
Description: partial 16S ribosomal RNA
Rfam family: Bacterial small subunit ribosomal RNA
Source: RNAcentral
AUACGUAGGGAGCGAGCGUUGUCCGGAAUUACUGGGUGUAAAGGGAGUGUAGGCGGGAAAACAAGUCAGAUGUGAAAACUAUGGGCUCAACCUGUAGACUGCAUUUGAAACUAUUUUCUUGAGUGAAGUAGAGGUAAGCGGAAUUCCUAGUGUAGCGGUGAAAUGCGUAGAUAUUAGGAGGAACACCAGUGGCGAAGGCGACUUUCUGGACCAUAACUGACGCUGAGGCUCGAAAGCGUGGGGAGC